Molecule: ribosomal RNA, 492 nt
Filed under: uncultured bacterium
Lineage: Bacteria
Description: partial 16S ribosomal RNA
Rfam family: Bacterial small subunit ribosomal RNA
Source: RNAcentral
AGUGAACGCUGGCGGUAGGCCUAACACAUGCAAGUCGAACGGCAGCACAGUAAGAGCUUGCUCUUACGGGUGGCGAGUGGCGGACGGGUGAGGAAUACAUCGGAAUCUAUUUUUUCGUGGGGGAUAACGUAGGGAAACUUACGCUAAUACCGCAUACGACCUACUGGUGAAAGCAGGGGAUCUUCGGACCUUGCGCGAUUGAAUGAGCCGAUGUCGGAUUAGCUAGUUGGCGGGGUAAAGGCCCACCAAGGCGACGAUCCGUAGCUGGUCUGAGAGGAUGAUCAGCCACACUGGAACUGCGACACGGUCCAGACUCCUACGGGAGGCAGCAGUGGGGAAUAUUGGACAAUGGGCGCAAGCCUGAUCCAGCAAUACCGCGUGGGUGAAGAAGGCCUUCGGGUUGUAAAGCCCUUUUGUUGGGAAAGAAAAGCAGCAGGUUAAUACCCCGCUGUUCUGACGGUACCCAAAGAAUAAGCACCGGCUAACUUCGUG